RNAcentral lists this ribosomal RNA (776 nucleotides) under uncultured Neocallimastigales. Its description in RNAcentral is "partial large subunit ribosomal RNA". It matches the Rfam family "Eukaryotic large subunit ribosomal RNA", at positions 26 to 625 of the family's 3401-position model. The record is from RNAcentral. Lineage: Eukaryota; Fungi; Neocallimastigomycota; Neocallimastigomycetes; Neocallimastigales.
CGCAUCUGUGCAUGCAGCAUAUCAAUAAGCGGAGGAAAAGAAACUAACAAGGAUUCCCUUAGUAACGGCGAGUGAAGCGGGAAGAGCUCAAAUUUGAAAUCUUCAAGGUUUUACCUUGACGAAUUGUAGUUUAAAGAAGUGUUUUCCUGCUGAAGUUUUGGUAAAAGUUCUUUGGAAUAGGACAUCAUAGAGGGUGAGAAUCCCGUAUUUGACCAUUAUUUUCAGCUUUGUGAUACACUUUCAAAGAGUCGGAUUGUUUGGGAAUGCAGUCCAAAAUGGGUGGUAAAUUUCAUCUAAAGCUAAAUAUUGGCGAGAGACCGAUAGCGAACAAGUACCGUGAGGGAAAGAUGAAAAGAACUUUGAAAAGAGAGUUAAACAGUACGUGAAAUUGUCAAAAGGGGAAGCGUUUGACACCAGUGUUGUUUUCUCGAAAAUCAAUUAAAGAUGGCUCGAUUUUGUAUUGCUGAGACCUUAAAAGCUCACUGUACAUUUUUCGUGUCUUUUUUAAUGCACUUUUCGUUUAACAAGUCAACAUCAGUUUCUUUUGUUGUAAAAGGGUCAUUGGAAGGUGGCUUUCUUUUCGGAGAAAGUGUUUAUAGCCUUUGGCCUCUGCAAUCGGAAGAGACUGAGGUCUGCAGCGUAGACUCUUCGGGGUUAGAUACAUUUGUGCUAAGUUAUAGCUUUUUAUAGACAACUUGUUGACUAUAAUUAGUCUUGUAGCUUACUCGCUUAUGCUAUUUACCUACGCUUAGGAUGUUGAUAGUCACAGCGUGUAC